UACGUAGGUGGCAAGCGUUGUCCGGAAUCAUUGGGCGUAAAGAGCGUGUAGGCGGCCCGGUAAGUCCGCUGUGAAAGUCCAGGGCUCAACCCUGGGAUGCCGGUGGAUACUGUCGGGCUCGAGUCCGGAAGAGGAGUGUGGAAUUCCUGGUGUAGCGGUGAAAUGCGCAGAUAUCAGGAGGAACACCAAUGGCGAAGGCAGCACUCUGGGACGUGACUGACGCUGAGACGCGAAAGCGUGGGGAGCAAACAGG
RNAcentral lists this ribosomal RNA (253 nucleotides) under uncultured bacterium. Its description in RNAcentral is "partial 16S ribosomal RNA". It matches the Rfam family "Bacterial small subunit ribosomal RNA", at positions 524 to 776 of the family's 1533-position model. The record is from RNAcentral.